GAUAGAGGCGCGGUACUCAUCAGUACCCCCCGGCAAGGUCGUGCAGCCGCCGAUGGGGAAAGGGAUUAUCGCCGAAGCAGGGGGGAGCUGCCCGGGUUUCUCCUGCUGGGCCGUCAGAGAAUAUCUGCCGGACUGUCACAAUUCUUUGUGGAGCGCUAUCA
This 161-nucleotide non-coding RNA is filed under the name uncultured Faecousia sp. RNAcentral describes it as "Lysine riboswitch". It matches the Rfam family "Lysine riboswitch aptamer". Rfam says of the family: Riboswitches are metabolite binding domains within certain messenger RNAs that serve as precision sensors for their corresponding targets. Allosteric rearrangement of mRNA structure is mediated by ligand binding, and this results in modulation of gene expression. Lineage: Bacteria; Bacillati; Bacillota; Clostridia; Eubacteriales; Oscillospiraceae. The record is from RNAcentral.